RNAcentral lists this ribosomal RNA (250 nucleotides) under uncultured bacterium. RNAcentral describes it as "partial 16S ribosomal RNA". It matches the Rfam family "Bacterial small subunit ribosomal RNA", at positions 959 to 1210 of the family's 1533-position model. The record is from RNAcentral.
ACGCGCGGAACCUUACCAGGCCUUGACAUCGCCCGGAAAGCCGUGGAAACACGGCCCUCCUUCGGGACCGGGUGACAGGUGGUGCAUGGUCGUCGUCAGCUCGUGUCGUGAGAUGUUGGGUUAAGUCCCGCAACGAGCGCAACCCUUGCCCUUAGUUGCCAGCACUUCGGGUGGGCACUCUAUCGGGACUGCCGGUGUAAACCGUGAGGAAGGUGGGGAUGACGUCAAAUCAGCACGGCCCUUACAUCCA